AUACUAAAAUUGGCAGCACAUAUACUAAAACUGGAACAAUACAGAAAUUAGCAUGGCCCCUGUGGAAGGAUGACAUGUAAAUCCGUGAAGCGUUCUAAAUUAAA
This is a small nuclear RNA of Suncus etruscus (white-toothed pygmy shrew), 104 nucleotides long. The record is from RefSeq and is a predicted model, not a curated record. Lineage: Eukaryota; Metazoa; Chordata; Mammalia; Eulipotyphla; Soricidae.